ACGGAAGGCAGCAGUGAGGAAUAUUGGUCAAUGGACGGAAGUCUGAACCAGCCAAGUCGCGUGAAGGAUGAAGGUAUUAUGUAUUGUAAACUUCUUUAGCAGUGGAGUAAUAAGGGGAUCGUGAUCCCCGAUGCAAGUACACUGAGAAUAAGGAUCGGCUAACUCCGUGCCAGCAGCCGCGGUAAUACGGAGGAUCCGAGCGUCAUCCGGAUUUAUUGGGUUUAAAGGGUGCGCAGGCGGCUUUUUAAGUCAGUGGUUGAAUCGUGACGCUCAACGUCAUCACGCCAUUGAUACUGGAGAGCUUGAUUGCGGUCGAGGUUUGCGGAAUUCGUUGUGUAGCGGUGAAAUGCAUAGAUAUGACGAAGAACACCGAUUGCGUAGGCAGCAGACCAGGCCGUAAAUGACGCUCAUGCACGAAAGUGCGGGGAUCGAACAGGAUUAGAUACCCUGGUA
This 453-nucleotide ribosomal RNA is filed under the name uncultured Porphyromonadaceae bacterium. Its description in RNAcentral is "partial 16S ribosomal RNA". It matches the Rfam family "Bacterial small subunit ribosomal RNA", at positions 341 to 792 of the family's 1533-position model. The record is from RNAcentral. Lineage: Bacteria; Pseudomonadati; Bacteroidota; Bacteroidia; Bacteroidales; Porphyromonadaceae.